This 497-nucleotide ribosomal RNA is filed under the name uncultured bacterium. Its description in RNAcentral is "partial 16S ribosomal RNA". It matches the Rfam family "Bacterial small subunit ribosomal RNA", at positions 28 to 507 of the family's 1533-position model. The record is from RNAcentral.
GACGAACGCUGGCGGCGUGCCUAAUACAUGCAAGUUGAGCGCUGAAGGUUGGUACUUGUACCAACUGGAUGAGCAGCGAACGGGUGAGUAACGCGUGGGGAAUCUGCCUUUGAGCGGGGGACAACAUUUGGAAACGAAUGCUAAUACCGCAUAAAAACUUUAAACACAAGUUUUAAGUUUGAAAGAUGCAAUUGCAUCACUCAAAGAUGAUCCCGCGUUGUAUUAGCUAGUUGGUGAGGUAAAGGCUCACCAAGGCGAUGAUACAUAGCCGACCUGAGAGGGUGAUCGGCCACAUUGGGACUGAGACACGGCCCAAACGCCUACGGGAGGCAGCAGUAGGGAAUCUUCGGCAAUGGGCGAAAGUCUGACCGAGCAACGCCGCGUGAGUGAAGAAGGGUUUCGGAUCGUAAAACUCGGUUGGUAGAGAAGAACGUUGGUGAGAGUGGAAAGCUCAUCAAGUGACGGUAACUACCCAGAAAGGGACGGCUAACUACGUG